Molecule: transfer RNA, 73 nt
Filed under: Dictyocaulus viviparus (bovine lungworm)
Lineage: Eukaryota; Metazoa; Nematoda; Chromadorea; Rhabditida; Metastrongylidae
Rfam family: tRNA
About the family: Transfer RNA (tRNA) molecules are approximately 80 nucleotides in length. Their secondary structure includes four short double-helical elements and three loops (D, anti-codon, and T loops).
Source: Rfam by way of RNAcentral
GCUUCGGUAGUGCAGUGGGUCAGCAUGGCAGACCGGGUAUCUGUAAGUGAGGGUUCGAGUGUCUUCUGAUGUU